Molecule: long non-coding RNA, 2117 nt
Filed under: Pan troglodytes (chimpanzee)
Lineage: Eukaryota; Metazoa; Chordata; Mammalia; Primates; Hominidae
Description: long non-coding RNA NONPTRT000804
Source: RNAcentral
GCCUAGAGUCCGAGGCGUGGGCAGGGAGCUGGCCCCCGUCCAUUGCUGCAGCUCCGCAGCAGCAGGACAGCCCUGGGAGGUGGAGACGGACUCCGUUCAUUUGGAUAAGCAGAGGAAAUUUGGCAGAAACGACCAAAUGCAAACUACGUGUAGCAGCCUGAGACCGGCCGUCUACUGAAACAAAGGAUGCAGUUCAGUCGGAAACCACGCUUAGCAGUGUAGCUGUCUUUAGCCAUCCAGGCCCUGAGAACCAAUGAACAACCCAGCUUGGCCGCUUAGAACAUUUUUUCUGUACUUGAGUUAAAUAGAUAUCCAAGAACCAUUACUCAUUUUUAAUGUGGAGAAGUCGGUAUUCUAUUCUCGUGUUCUAUGUUUUUUAAAGCGGCAAUUUGAAUUAUUUCGUGCGAUAGAAAACCUUAAACACAAAGUAACGUUUCUAACAAAAGGGCUGUCGAUCAAGUGACAAACACGUCCUACUUUUAGAUACGAGCACGACUGAGGCAACGGCAUGAAAACGCCUAAAGUGGGCUGCUGGGGAGACAAGAUCUGGCCGCGAAUGGAACUCGCGGCAGCUCAUUAACGGGACCGUCCAGCAGGAAGGUGGGUUGGCAGCCUUCUCCCAGGGCUCCCCACGAUCCCUACCCCUGGUGUGGUGUGGCCUUCCUCCUCACAUGUCGUCUGGACCAAGCAGUGUGUUGUUCUCAUCCAUAAAGAGUGAUGGGCCGGGCACCAUGGCCACACCUGUGAUCCCAGCACUGUGGGAGGCUGAGGCAGGAGGAUCUCCUGAGCCCAGGAGUUUGAGACCAGCCUGGGUAGCAUAGGGAGACCCUGUCUCUACAGAAAAAAAGUUAGCCAGGUAUUCCAGAGGCUGAGGUGGGAGGAUCGCUUGAACCCAGGAGGUGGAGACUGCAGUGAGCCGUGAUCGCACCACUGCACUCCAACCUGGGCAACAGACUGAGACCCAGUUUCUAAAACAAAUAAUAAAAAGGCAGGGUGCAGUGGCUCAUACCUGUAAUCCCAGCACGUUGGGAGGCCAAGGUGGGCGGAUCACUUGAGGUCAGGAGUUCGAGACCAGCUGGCCCACAUGGUAAAACCCCAUCUCUACUAAAAUGCAAAAAUCAACCGGGCACAGUGGCACAGGCCUGUAAUCCCAGCUCUUCAGGAGGCCGAGGCAGGAGAACUGGGAGGCGAGAUUGCAGUGAGCUGAGAUCGUGCCACUGCACUCCAUCCAGGCUGGGUGACAGAGCUAGACACCAUCUUGAAAAAAAAUAAAAAUAAAAUAAAAAGAGUGAUGAGGCAUCCUGAGAUUCAUUUAUAAAAUGCCGUGAUUCAGGUCUCAGGGCACUGUCGCCCCUACUCACUUUGAUGAAGCCAGUGCUGGGUUGCUGCCGAGGUGGGGAGGUUCAUGGGCCAGGAACUGAAGGCAGCCAUGAGAGCCAGACCCCUCCACCACCCCCAAGACAGCAGGGAACUCACUCCAACAGCCACCCUGGGAUGCUGCCACAGCUGAGCCUGGAGGUGACCGUGACCCUGGCUGACGUCGGACUGCAGCUUUGUAAGGGAGACUGAGCCGGGACCCAGACCUACAAAAGCUGAGAUGAUAAACACUGUUUUAAGCUGCUGUGUGUCGCAGUGACUCGUGUGGCAGUGGAUUUCUAGCAGAGCCGUCGUUCCUGUCUGGCUUCUGUCAGCUCAACACUCUGUAGGGCCACCCAUGCUGUCGUGCAUGCCAGCGGUGGACUUUUCAUUGCUGAGUAAUAUUUCAUUCCAUUGCAUGCUCGCACCUCGGUUUGUUGAACUGUCUACCUGUUGAUGGGCUCUGGGACAUAGGCAGUUCUGGGCUAUUAUGAGUAAAGCUGCUUUUAACAUUUAAAUACAAGUCUGUGUAUGGACACAUGUUUUCGUUUCUUUUGAAUAAAUAUGUGUGGGAUUACUGGGUUUCAAGGGGACUGUAUGUUUAAGUUGGUAAGAAGCUGCCAAUCUGCUUUCUUUUCUUUCUUUCUUUUUUUCUUUUUGAGAUGGAGUCUCACUCUGUCACCCAGGCUGGAGUGCAGUGGCGUGAUCUCGGCUCACUGUAACCUCCGCCUCCCGGGUUCAAGAGAUUCUCCUGCCUCAGC